UCCUUCUUAUCGAAGGCAGUUUUCGAAGAGUGCAUCCCUUGCGGGAUUAGCAACAUCGAAUGGGGGUUGCGCUCGUUGCGGGACUUAACCCAACAUCUCACGACACGAGCUGACGACAACCAUGCAGCACCUCUGCUGGUAACCUUGCGGAUUCCUCCCUGUUUCCAGGAAGGCAUUUGACCAGUAGUUCAAGCCCAGGUAAGGUUCUUCGCGUUGCGUCGAAUUAAACCACAUGCUCCACCGCUUGUGCGGGCCCCCGUCAAUUCCUUUGAGUUUCAACCUUGCGGCCGUACUCCCCAGGCGGCUAAUUUAAUGCGUUAGCUUCGGCGCGGGAGGGGUCGAUACCUUCCACACCUAAUUAGCAUCGUUUAGGGCUAGGACUAC
This 384-nucleotide unclassified non-coding RNA is filed under the name uncultured Elusimicrobia bacterium. RNAcentral describes it as "contains 16S-23S intergenic spacer region". Lineage: Bacteria; Pseudomonadati; Elusimicrobiota; Elusimicrobia. The record is from RNAcentral.